This 526-nucleotide ribosomal RNA is filed under the name uncultured Entrophospora. RNAcentral's name for it is "SSU rRNA". It matches the Rfam family "Eukaryotic small subunit ribosomal RNA", at positions 569 to 1087 of the family's 1831-position model. The record is from RNAcentral. Lineage: Eukaryota; Fungi; Glomeromycota; Glomeromycetes; Entrophosporales; Entrophosporaceae.
AGCAGCCGCGGUAAUUCCAGCUCCAAUAGCGUAUAUUAAAGUUGUUGCAGUUAAAAAGCUCGUAGUUGAAUUUCGGGAUUGACACAUCGGUCGUGCCUUAAGGGGUGUGAACUGGUGUAGUCAAUUUCUCACCUUCUGGAGAACCGCGAUGUCCUUAAUUGGGUGCCGCGAGGAACCAGGACCUUUACUUUGAAAAAAUUAGAGUAGUUUAAAGCAGGCAUUUUUGCUUGAAUACAUUAGCAUGGAAUAAUAAAAUAGGACGGCAUGAUUCUAUUUUGUUGGUUUCUAGGAUCACCGUAAUGAUUAAUAGGGAUAGUUGGGGGCAUUAGGUAUUCAAUUGUCAGAGGUGAAAUUCUUGGAUUUAUUGAAGACUAACUACUGCGAAAGCAUUUGCCAAGGAUGUUUUCAUUAAUCUAAGACGAAAGUUAGGGGAUCGAAGACGAUCAGAUACCGUCGUAGUCUUAACCAUAAACUAUGCCGACUAGGAAUCAGACGAUGUUAAUUUUUAAUGUACUCGUUUGGCACC